UUUUAAAAACUAUACAUCCUACAGAGAAGAGAUUUAUAUUGUGAUAUAAUAUAAAGCUCUUCGCUGUAGGAUGUAUAGUUUUUAAAA
This is a non-coding RNA of Pelobates cultripes (western spadefoot toad), 87 nucleotides long. Lineage: Eukaryota; Metazoa; Chordata; Amphibia; Anura; Pelobatidae. The record is from the annotation of a GenBank genome assembly.